Molecule: long non-coding RNA, 1289 nt
Filed under: Phasianus colchicus (ring-necked pheasant)
Lineage: Eukaryota; Metazoa; Chordata; Aves; Galliformes; Phasianidae
Description: lncRNA (ENSPCLG00000017781.1)
Source: RNAcentral
GAGGAGCGUUGGGGUUGGAUUUGGGGUCGGAUUGGGAUUUGGGGUGGGAUUUGGGGUUUGGGGUUGGAUUUGGGGUCGGAUUGGUAUUUGGGGUCAGGUUUGGGAUCAGAUUGGGAUUUGGGGUUUGGGGUCGGAUUUGGGGUCGGAUUGGGAUUUGGGGUGGGAUUUGGGGUUUGGGGUUGGAUUUGCGGUCGGAUUGGGAUUUGGGGUUGGAUUUGGGGUCGGGUUGGGGUUUGGGGUGGGAUUUGGGGUUUGGGGUCGGAUUUAGGAUGGCAUCCCCUCCCUGCAGCCCCCCCACCUCAGAGCGGAGCGGCCCCACAGGCGGAUCCCGCGUCCGGAGGGAAACCAAUUUCGGGGUCGGCGUCGUCGUGACCCACGAGGUCGUCGUCACCACCAGCACCGACGGCCCCAAUGUCACCGCCGAGCUUUUUGGGGUCACCGAAGCCCUGGUGGAGAAACUCCGUCAGACCCAGAGCAGCCAGGGGGACUGCCAGCAAAACACCUGUGGGUCCCAUACGGCCCCAUAUGGCCCCAUAUGGCCCUAUAUGACCCCAUAUAGAACAAAAUGGCCCCCAAUGGCCCUAUAGGGCCCCGUAUGGCCCUAUAUGGCCCUAUUUGGCCCUAUAUGCCCCCCUAUAGCUUCAUAUAGACCAAAAUGGCCCCCAAUGGCCCCAUAUGGCCCUAUACGGCCCUAUAUGACCCCAUAUAGAACAAAAUGGCCCCCAAUGGCCCCAUAUGGCCCCAUAUGGCCCUAUAUGGCCCUAUUUGGCCCUAUAUGCCCCCUAUAGCCUCAUAUAGACCAAAAUGGCCCCCAAUGGCCCCCAAUGGCCCCAUAUGGCCCUAUACGGCCCUAUAUGACCCCAUAUAGAACAAAAUGGCCCCCAAUGGCCCUAUAUGGCCCCAUAUGGCCCUAUAUGGCCCUAUAUAGCCCUAUAUGCCCCCAUAUAGCCCCAUAUGGAACAAAAUGGCCCCCAAUGGUCCCAUAUGGCCCCACAUAGCCCUAUAUGGCCCUAUAUGGCCCCAUAUAGCCCCCAAUGACCCCAUAUGGCCCCAUAUAGACCCAUAUCACCCCAUAAGACCCCCAGUGUCCCCAUAUGGCCCCCAUAUAGACCCAUAUUGCCCCAUAUGACCCCAUAUAGACCCAUAUCACCCCAUAUGACCCCCAGUGUCCCCAUAUGGCCCCCAUAUAGACCCAUAUUGCCCCAUAUGGCCCCAUAUGACCCCAUACAGUCCUAUACGGCCCCAUAUGGCCCCCCCCAACCCCGCUGACCCCAUAUGGUCCUAUACGG